RNAcentral lists this ribosomal RNA (253 nucleotides) under uncultured bacterium. Its description in RNAcentral is "partial 16S ribosomal RNA". It matches the Rfam family "Bacterial small subunit ribosomal RNA", at positions 524 to 776 of the family's 1533-position model. The record is from RNAcentral.
UACAGAGGGUGCGAGCGUUAAUCGGAAUUACUGGGCGUAAAGCGUGCGUAGACGGUUAUUUAAGUCGGAUGUGAAAGCCCCGGGCUCAACCUGGGAAUUGCAUUCGAGACUGAAUAGCUAGGGUACGGUAGAGGGAAGCGGAAUUUCCGGUGUAGCGGUGAAAUGCGUAGAUAUCGGGAGGAAUACCAGUGGCGAAGGCGGCCUUCUGGACGGAUACUGACGCUGAGGCGCGAAAGCCAGGGGAGCAAACGGG